AGCUUUAAGAUUACUUAUUUAAAGUAAAGCUUGCCCAGUGAAAUAAAUUUUAAACGGCCGCGGUACCUUGNCCGUGNUAAGGUAGCAUAAUCAAUUGACUUUUAAUUGGANUCUGGAAUGAACGGGCUAACGGGGAUAGANUGAUAAAAAAUUAAGAUUAUUUUUAAAUUACUAAAAGGGUGAAAAGGCCUUUAAAAUGAAAAAAGACGAGAAGACCCUAAGASUUUGAAAUUAUWAUAUUUUGUUGGGGCGACAAGAAAUCAUUUCUACUAAACAUUUCUAUUAUUAAAUAGACGGAUUUAUCAUGACUUAAUAAACUACCUUAGGGAUAACAGCAUAGUCUUAUUUUUAGGUUUGUGACCUCGAUGUUGGACUAGGAUAUUUUUAGGUUANCCNCUAAUUAAAUUCUGUUCGAAUUAUAAUUUCCU
RNAcentral lists this ribosomal RNA (428 nucleotides) under Retusa pertenuis. Its description in RNAcentral is "partial 16S large subunit ribosomal RNA". Lineage: Eukaryota; Metazoa; Mollusca; Gastropoda; Cephalaspidea; Retusidae. The record is from RNAcentral.